GAUGAACGCUGGCGGCGUGCCUAAUACAUGCAAGUCGAGCGAACAGACGAGGAGCUUGCUCCUCUGACGUUAGCGGCGGACGGGUGAGUAACACGUGGAUAACCUACCUAUAAGACUGGGAUAACUUCGGGAAACCGGAGCUAAUACCGGAUAAUAUAUUGAACCGCAUGGUUCAAUAGUGGAAGACGGUUUUGCUGUCACUUAUAGAUGGAUCCGCGCCGCAUUAGCUAGUUGGUAAGGUAACGGCUUACCAAGGCAACGAUGCGUAGCCGACCUGAGAGGGUGAUCGGCCACACUGGAACUGAGACACGGUCCAGACUCCUACGGGAGGCAGCAGUAGGGAAUCUUCCGCAAUGGGCGAAAGCCUGACGGAGCAACGCCGCGUGAGUGAUGAAGGUCUUCGGAUCGUAAAACUCUGUUAUUAGGGAAGAACAAAUGUGUAAGUAACUAUGCACGUCUUGACGGUACCUAAGCAGAAAGCCACGGCUAACUACGU
Molecule: ribosomal RNA, 496 nt
Filed under: uncultured bacterium
Lineage: Bacteria
Description: partial 16S ribosomal RNA
Rfam family: Bacterial small subunit ribosomal RNA
Source: RNAcentral